Molecule: ribosomal RNA, 253 nt
Filed under: uncultured bacterium
Lineage: Bacteria
Description: partial 16S ribosomal RNA
Rfam family: Bacterial small subunit ribosomal RNA
Source: RNAcentral
UACGUAGGGUGCAAGCGUUGUCCGGAAUUAUUGGGCGUAAAGAGCUCGUAGGCGGCUUGUCACGUCGACUGUGAAAACCCGGGGCUCAACUCCGGGCCUGCAGUCGAUACGGGCUGGCUUGAGUGCGGUAGGGGAGACUGGAAUUCCUGGUGUAGCGGUGAAAUUCGUAGAUAUCAGGAGGAACACCGGUGGCGAAAGCGGCUUCCUGGCCCGACAUUGACGCUCAUGUACGAAAGCGUGGGGAGCAAACAGG